Sapajus apella (tufted capuchin) is the source of this 3095-nucleotide RNA transcript. It is a transcript of the gene named pachytene checkpoint protein 2 homolog, with no coding region annotated. Lineage: Eukaryota; Metazoa; Chordata; Mammalia; Primates; Cebidae. The transcript has 2 exons. The record is from RefSeq and is a predicted model, not a curated record.
AUAAAAUUUCUGUUUUUCCUUGUUUCGGUCAAAGAAGCAAAAAUCACUAAAACUCAGAAAUCUCCAGUUUUGUCUCUUUCGUGUGAAAUUUCAAUACUAUCUAAUUCAACUUGUCAGUAAUUUUUUAGAAUUGUAAAUAAACUAUGCUUAAAGAUCCCCUAUUCUUUAAUCCUUCUAUUAAAAUAAGAUCUAAAGAGAAUAAAGGUAUACACUGAGUUUUAAGAAAAUAACUAGAGUUUAGUGAUAGAUGUAUGAGUAGGAGGUGGUGGAAGAUAAAGGAUUGCUUUUGUUAAACAGAACUAACCUAUAUUUUCAGUCCACCUUGUAAGAAUUGUGCUAAAGGGAUUAUUUACCUGAAUAAUUUUGCAAGGAAUGAAGCCCCAACUCAUAAGACAUUUUGAAGAAUUUUCUAGAAAAGAUCUCCCAGGGCCAUCUUCACAAAAGACAACUAAACAGAGUUGUUGAUGCAACUUAACUAAGGCAUUGUUCUGGGAUGCAUUUCAUUGUCUUCAAAGCCCAGAGACAUACCUCAUCCUAUCAGCAGUUCCUCUCAAUAAUGCUAUGUCAUGAGCAGUUGUCUCCAUUCUUUUUUGUAUAUGAUUUCUGACUGCUAAACCCAAUGGCCUGCUAUUCUUGUUUUAUAGUAAAAAGAUUUCCUUACUUGUUUUAAUUUUAUUUCCUAACAGAUUUUUUGUUAGUUCACUGUAAAUAGAGUAGCCAAUCACUUGAUUACCAGGUAAUUCAGAGUAGGUUUCCAUCUGUUUUCAGGUCUACUGGAAAACCAUAAAUGAGUCUAAAAUGACAGAUAAAGCAAAAUAUUGUGUCAUUUAUAGUUGCUAAGAGGCCCUCAUUUUUUAAAUUUUCAUUCCCAUCAAUAAUAUAGUGAUAUGAAUAUAUUCAUCACUUUUGAUUCUAGUUUUCAAAGAGAAAGGACUAAUUACUAAAUAAUCAGUUAAAAUGUGGGUUUCCUCAGAAAUGUGAGUAAGGAAAUUUGAGGCAGGGGCAUGAGGUGGUGGUGGCCAGGCUCAGGCCAGGACUCCGCUGCUUCCAGUGGAACCAUGGGGAAGGCCGUGGGCAACUCGAAGCAAGCACUGCCCUGUAUGACCAAGUCAUGGACAGUCCACAUGGAGUGCAUCAGCACAGAGGCAACACUGCAAAAAAAAAAAGACUUAAAGCUGAGUGUCAGAAAGCUACUCACCAAACAUAAUACUGUGUUUGGUGAUUAUACAUGGAUUGAGUUUGAUGAACUUUUUCUGACCAGGAAUAUGCUCGUCUGUAUUGUUGACACAGAAUUAAAGGUUAAAGACUCGUAGCUCAUUGAUUUGAGUGCAUGUACUAUUGCACUUCACAUCUUCCAGCAGAGUGAAGAUGGCCCUAGCAGUGAAAAGUUGGAGGAAGAGACAGAAGAUAAAAUUGUGGCAAAUCACUGGGUUCUGCCUGCAGCCAAAUUCCAUGGGCUUUGGAACAGCCUAGUGUCUGAUGUGGAAGUCAAAUCACACCUUGAUUAUGUGAUUACAACCUUAUCAUUUUCAGACAAGAAUGUCAACAGCAGCCUCAGCACCUGGAACCAGGUGGUGCUGCUACAUGGUCCUCCAAGAACUGGAAAAAUAUUCCUAUGUAAAGCAUUAGCCCAGAAAUUGACAAUUAAACUUUCAAGCUGCUAUUGGUAUGGCCAGUUAAUUGAAAUAAAUAGCCAUAGGCUCUUUUCUAAGUGGUUUUCUGAAAGGGAAAAGCUGGUAACUAAGACAUUCCAGAAGAUUCAGGAUUUGAUUGAUUAUAAAGAUGCUCUGGUGGCAUUUUAACUGAUUGAUGAGAUGGAAAGUCUCACAGCCACCCAUAAUGAAAGCCAUCAGGUGCCAUUGGCAUGGUCAAUGUUGUCUUGACCCAAAUUAAUCAGAUUAAAAGGCAUUUUUAAUGUAGUGAUUCUGACUACUUGCAACAUCAUUGUGAAGAUUGACAUGGGCUUUAUGGACAGGUCUGAUAUUAAGCAGUAUAUCAGUCUGCCCUCUGCAGCAGCCAUCUUCAAAAUUUACCUUUCUUUGGAAGAACUGGUCAAGUGCCAAGUCAUACCCUCCUCAGCAGUAUUAAUCCUUCAAAAGCUGGAGAUGAUUGGCUUCACUGAAAACAAUGUGUCAAAAUUGAGCUUCCUUUUGAGUGACAUUUCAAAGAAGAUUGAGGGCCUCCAUGGCCAGUUCCUAAGAAAACUCCUUUUUCUGGCUCAUACACUGUACAUCCAGGCUACACGAGGCCUUCUCUCUGGCCGUGGACAAGCAGUUUGAAGAGAGAAAGAAGCUUUCAGCUUACAUUUGAUCCUGGGCUUCACAUUCCAUAGCUUUCUAGUGGAGAGCACACAACUAGUAAGUAACAUCACUUUGCCUCACAACACCCCCCACUCUGGAAAUCCCCUCUGUAAAAAUUUGCUUAGAUCUGUCUACAAGCCAGAAAGCUAUAACACCAACCUUUGUUACAAGUAUUAUAUUUACAUUAGUUUAAAAUUUUAUAAAUUUAUAUUAUAUUAGUUUAAAAUUCAUAUUAGAAGACAAAUAGCUUGUCAUUUUCACUGUUUUUAAAAGAUAAUUCAAAUUGUCGGUCUCUUUGUUAAGAAUUGUCUAAUUGUGUUUAUUUCCAUCCUGCUUCCAAUUGAUGGACACAAAAUGCUACACAAGUUUGGUUUUUUUAAAAAAGGAAGAUUAACAUAGGUAUUAUAGAAGCAGGAGAACUGUAUCCCACUAAAUAAGCAUGUAAUCAUAGCAUUCAAAAAUGUACAUAUCACUCUAGCUAGAAAGUGGCAGUGGCUUUAUGAUGUCAGCUUGUUUAAUGCAAAAAUGGCUUAGAGACUUUUUAAUGGAUAAGAAAAACCUAUUUCUAUGUUAAUAGAAAUUGAGAGAAAAUUCUAGGUAAGUGUUCUUUCAUAAUAAUCAAACAUAGUCCCAUUUGUAGGAAGAGUACAGACCCAUGUUCAAAAGAUAUAUGCUGGAUGUCCUUCAUAAACCAGUGCAGCACACAUGCAUUGCUUGGAUAUUUCUUCCCAUUUUUUUGUUUGUUCAAUAAUAUUAUUCACAUCUCAGGCCAGGCACAGUGGCUCAUGCCUAUGA